This 253-nucleotide ribosomal RNA is filed under the name uncultured Eubacteriales bacterium. RNAcentral describes it as "uncultured Clostridiales bacterium partial 16S ribosomal RNA". It matches the Rfam family "Bacterial small subunit ribosomal RNA", at positions 524 to 776 of the family's 1533-position model. The record is from RNAcentral. Lineage: Bacteria; Bacillati; Bacillota; Clostridia; Eubacteriales.
UACGUAGGGGGCAAGCGUUAUCCGGAAUUACUGGGUGUAAAGGGAGCGUAGACGGUGAUGUAAGUCUGGAGUGAAAGGCGGGGGCCCAACCCCCGGACUGCUCUGGAAACUAUAUGACUGGAGUGCCGGAGAGGUAAGCGGAAUUCCUAGUGUAGCGGUGAAAUGCGUAGAUAUUAGGAGGAACACCAGUGGCGGAGGCGGCUUACUGGACGGUAACUGACGCUGAGGCUCGAAGGCCAGGGGAGCGAAAGGG